CGACAUGAAAUGUACUGGCUUGGUGUCGUCUAACGUCAAAUACAUCCAGCAUAAAGGUAGGGUCACCGGCUAGCACGUUUGCUUACGAGUUCCGCACUUUGCAGAACUGACGCUUCUCGCCCAAAUAUCUACGAUCAGAGGUUUCUCCGGCGUCUAUGUUCCCGUGUUUGUGUCCCCCAGUCCCUCCGGAACAGAAGCUAGCCAGCACAAACCAACCGGCAAUCAGGCGAUCAGUGGUUUUAUCUACAGAUGCAAAGGAAAACGAGCACCAGGUGUGUAUGCACAACCCCGGAGACCUCCAUCAGGCUCCCAAACCAACCCGACUCUUCUCACCCCAACCUGCUCACCUUGAGAAGGCUAUGGGUCAGGCUGUCUCUGGAGCAUGUUCUGGAAGGAGUCGUCCCCAGUGGCCAGCGGGACACUGUGGUGCCCCUUACAGACAUUCAUGAAAGACUGGGAAUGACCAGAUAUUCAAUCCACUGUGGACAACCCCCCAGCAUCACAUCAUUCGAAGCUCUGCCUAGCGCCAUGCUGUACAUAUUGUAGAAACUUUCCCACCGUGAAGUCCAGCACCUGAGCUUUACAGCUUAUAGAAUCUAAGACAUGAUCAGGGGUAAGACGAACCAUGGUUUUAGGAACCACUAAGAAAGGAGCAAUGCUGCCUGCUCACCUGUGUAAAUUGUUGGCUGUGCCCAGACUGCAGCAAUGGUACUGUGUGCAUCUUAGACUCAGUGAACUAUAGUGGCCGCCCCCCUCAUCUCUGACAAGUGGCUGAAUGAGCCAGGAGCCUGCUGGGUUUUCAGGUCACUCCCCCCAGGUUUGGAGUGCGCCAUCUACAGGGAUAGGGGACAAACAGUCAGUCUUACAUGCACACUGCCUUGCUGGGCCAUGGGUCCUCCCCAACUCCCCUGUAGGAAAUUCAUGCUGGCUGUGCUGGGGGGAGGCAAGCAGGACCUGGGGAGUCUGGAGUCCAGGGAAAUCUCAAAGUAGAGUGAGAAAGAGGGAAGAGCUUUGGAAGAAAUAAACGUCUGUGUCCGUGGGGCCUGAUGGCAUGAGAGGCGAAAAGGCAGCGAGGAGGCAGAAAGGAAGCCAGGGACAGAGCAGCACCAUCGACAGAGACAGGAGAACCAGGGAGCCGGCUGGUGGGGGUGGUUGGGGUUGAGCUGAGCUCAAGAUGAGCAAGGUCAGCCAGUAGAAAAGGCCAGACAUGAGCAGUGGAGGUGGUGGAGAGGCUGUCUCUGGAGGGGAGUGGAGACGGGCUUCUGAGCCUGGGAGGGAUGGAGGAAAGCCCCAACGCAGCAGCCCGAGAGAUUAGAGAGGAGCGGAGGAAGGCGGGAGUGGCCAGUGGUUGUAAACCUCGGAAGGGUCUGUAUGAAGAGGGAUUCAGGGGCGCCUGGGUGGCUCAUUCGGUUAAGCAUCUGACUUUUGAUCUCAGGGUCAUCUGUCCAAGCCCUGGGGUUGUGGAUCGUACUUUAAGAACUUUUAAAAAAAUUCAAGAAUGAGGACUCAGAAGAGACCCUUGGCUUGAUGACCUUCGAGUGCUUAGUUUUAUUAGAGGGCUGGGAAAAAGUCAGCUUGCGAAGAAUUAAGGAAGAAAUGCAGGCAGGAAGGGUAGUGGCAGGCUCUAGGAGCUCAGCUGCGAGAAACACCGAUGCGAUGCAGCCCGCGGGGAAAGUAGAGGCUUUCUGAGACGGGCCAGGCCUUUGCAGGCAGCAGACAGGAGGUGGGGGGGGAAUUAGAGCCCCUGUGUGGAGAGGAUGCAUCCCUUCCCUCGAGAGAUGAAAAGGAUGGUCAGGCCCCCAGGGCAGGUGGAAUGAUGGGCCCUUUGCAGGGAGAGAGAGGACAGUGGGAGGGCAGGGUCGAGGAGGAGGGUGAGAGACCUCAUCCUUUCAAGGACCUGGACCCGGCUGAACCCACAAUAAGCAAAAAAGGGGGUUGGGAACGGGAACUGAGGAAAGCGAGAAAGGCCCAGAACAUUUGCUGUAGCACAGUUGUCCCUAGAAAGUGUGUUCCAAGUCCCCUGGGCUUGAGGAGAUCUUGGGAUCCUAAAACCGGGGACAGCCUCAGCUGGUCUUCUCUUGGGCUCUUUGCCAAAGGAGUAGAAUGUCUCAAUCCUGUCAGCAAUGCCUUAAAAAUAUAUCCAGGGUCUGACCAGUGUUAGAUUCCCCAUGGGCUGAGUUUGGUUCUCUCUGAUACACUCGGAGCUCACGGGGAGCUGCGAGUGGGAGGUGGACUGGGGGGGCUCUCGGGCCAGGGGAAGAGAGAAUGAAGUUGAACUGCCCUGUGGGCCUUGCUGACCCCUAGGACCUCUAGAGUGGGGUGGCCCCUGGAGGUGUCCUCAAAGCAUUGGCCAGUCUCUGCCUCAAUUUUCUCCACCCACCUCACCCCCGGUUAUGGGCUAAAUUGUGUCUCUCCAAAUUCACACUCAGCAUGUGGCUGUGUUUAGGGUCAGGCCCUAUAAAGAAGCGAUUGGGCUAAAAGGAGGCCACGUGGAUGGACCCUCAUCCAAUCUAUGUCCCUGUAAGAAGCAGAGAUCAGGACCCAAACAGGUGCAGAGGGAAGACUGGUGAAACCCCAGAGAGAAGACGGCUGGUCGCCUAUAGACCAAGGAAAAAGGCCUUUGGAGACUCCAACUUGCCAGCGCAGGGUUCUCUGACCUCCAGUCUCCAGAACUGUGAGAAAUAAACUUCUGUUGUUGAAGCCCGCUGUCUGCGGAACUUUGUUCGAGUGGCCUGGAGCAGACCAGCUCGCCAUGUCCUGUCUUCUUCCCUUCUCCGAUUUUCUCCUUCGCAUGCUUCCCUCUCCAACAGAAGAAAUCCUUUGUUUAUUUCCUUAUUUCUCUGUCACCCUCCUCCUUCUGUAUUAUAAGCUCACGGAGCAGGAAUGCUGAUUCCUAGUGGCAACCAGAGAGCCUGCCCAGUGAAUAAAUGAGUCCCCUUAGUUCCAUCUCGUCCCGUGAGAGCAGAGGAGUCACAACUUCUGUGGUCACCCGUGGCAGUGAUUCUGACCCCGGCUGAUGAAUUUAGGGAACAGAUAUUUUCUGAGCACCUGCUGUGUGCCCAGGAUUGUUCUAGACGCUGGGGAAAGAGCAGCACACAAAACAGAGGAAAGUCGUCCCUGCCACAGAGGGGACAUCCCACAAACAAAAUCCAUUAACAUGGUAGAUGGUGACAGUGCUGCGGGGCACAGGAGAAUGCUGGGAGGAGGGACAAUUUUAAACGGGGGUCAGGGAGGGCCUCGUUGAGAAGUGACGUCUGAGUUAGGAACUGAAGCAAUGGAGGGAAAGAGCCCCGUGGGUGUCUCAGGGAAGGGCAUUUCUGGUGCCGGGAACAGCCAGUGCAAAUCCCUGAGGAGGGGCUGGAGGAGGCGCGAGCCCUCGCUACACUGACUUUUGCUCUGAGAGAUGGGAGCAGAGCAGAGCCGAGCUCAGAUGCGGUUUUCAUCAGACCGUCCCAAGGUCUGGGAUACUGAAACCUGAGCGCAGGGCAGAGGGAGGG
This is a long non-coding RNA of Mustela lutreola (European mink), 3497 nucleotides long. RefSeq lists it as uncharacterized. The transcript is spliced from 3 exons. The record is from RefSeq and is a predicted model, not a curated record. Lineage: Eukaryota; Metazoa; Chordata; Mammalia; Carnivora; Mustelidae.